GUUCCCGGGCCUUGUACACACCGCCCGUCACACCACGAGAGUUUGUAACACCCGAAGUCGGUGAGGUAACCGUAAGGAGCCAGCCGCCGAAGGUGGGACAGAUGAUUGGGGUGAAGUCGUAACAAGGUAGCCGUAUCGGAAGGUGCGGCUGGAUCACCUCCUUUCUAAGGA
This 171-nucleotide ribosomal RNA is filed under the name Bacillus sp. BGMRC 2118. RNAcentral's name for it is "partial 16S ribosomal RNA". It matches the Rfam family "Bacterial small subunit ribosomal RNA", at positions 1370 to 1533 of the family's 1533-position model. The record is from RNAcentral. Lineage: Bacteria; Bacillati; Bacillota; Bacilli; Caryophanales; Bacillaceae.